RNAcentral lists this unclassified non-coding RNA (43 nucleotides) under HIV whole-genome vector AA1305#18. Its description in RNAcentral is "RNA (43-MER) from HIV whole-genome vector AA1305#18 (PDB 7V06, chain A)". The record is from RNAcentral.
GGUGCUGUUUAUCCAUUUCAGAAUUGGGUGUCGACAUAGCACC